This 1530-nucleotide long non-coding RNA is filed under the name Sus scrofa (pig). RNAcentral describes it as "lncRNA (ENSSSCG00005021855.1)". Lineage: Eukaryota; Metazoa; Chordata; Mammalia; Artiodactyla; Suidae. The record is from RNAcentral.
AAAAAUAUCAAGGAAGACUGCCUUUUUACUGUGACUGUGAGAAAGCGACAUUUGAACUUCUGAGCUGUUGGACGCUCAUCUGUAAAGAGAAAUAACAAGAGCAGUUUUUCAGAUUGAUUGUCAGGAUUAAAUGAACUGCGUAAGCAAAAAAAGUCUGUAUACUGAUGUUAUCCUACUGAUUUAAAUCUCUAUUAUCCCUUCAAUAAAUUCUUUUGUUACCACCCAUUGGUGAACUUAACCAAGGUUUAAUUUUUUAAAAUUUUUGUGUGACCAUGCCUUGGCUCUGGAGCUGGUUUGCCAAUACCUUAAAGAUGAGAAGAUAAUUUGUAACCCCCUACUGCGUAUCACAUAUAAUAAAUACUUGGUACAAAGCUGUCCAUUGAUUUUCUUGGUUUAACCUUGCCAUUGCUAUAAAGAAAGAGCCUGCACAUCUAAUUUAUUACCGCUGCUACUUUAACUGUGUUGUGGCAUCUGGAGAAAUGAUAAUCAGCUGCAGCUUUUUUCCCCUCUUGACUGUGUGAUUCAACACUGUGCUGUCAUCAUCUCCAUUAGUAGCCAUCCCACAUGACUCAAAGAGAAGGAUGGAAAUGGGUCUCACCCAAGACAAUAUAAAAGCAAAGAUAAUACAAUAAAUUAAGACUUAAGCUAAAACUACAAAAGAAAAGUGGUGAUUCUGAGAAAUACAGAUGUUCAGUUUUUGACAAUUUAUUCCAACUAUCCCCUCAACCCCAUCACACAUUCUUUUUUCCUUCCAGAGACUAUUUUCUGAAUGAAAGGGUGGAGGUACCAGCAUCGUCUUGUCUCAAAGGCGAAGAGUCGGGACCAGGAUGUGAUAAAAACCGAGGUGUCUGUAAGCCCAUUUUUAUCAACAGAGAGACACCAAGGGAACUGAACCGAUUUGACUCAUGAGAAGAAGACCUUGCCCUCAGGGUGGCAAACACGAAUGCCCCUUCUAUGAACAGCAUCCUGUAUCUCUGAUGACUUCCUUUUCUUGAUAUCCUGUUAAGGCAAUAAACCGUGAAUCUCAGAAAACGGUUAAAGAUAGGGCAAAGCUGGAAAGCGUCUUCCAUCCUUACUUUGUCUCUGCAAACUUAGCAGGCCAUGUAAGUAGGUAACCAACACAUCUAUUACGUUAUAAACUUUCUCUGAUAAGUUAUGCACAAUAGCUUUCUUUCAUCAUUCAUUCACUGACUCUGUUAGGAAACUUUAAUAAGGAAGGUACAGCUCAUGAUGUCUUCUGCUUCCUCUCAUCAGAAGGUAUUGGUUAAUAGUAUUCUAAAGCCGGGAAAAGGAGACAAAUGGUUUGGGGAGAAUUAGGGGGAGAGAACUCAGAAAAUACUUGACAAAAACUACUGGGUAGCCCACUUGAUUAAAAACUCAUAUUUCAGCAAAUUUGGCAUCAAUGCCUGUUUCUAUAAAAUAUAAAGUAAAAUUCUUAUCCUUUCCCAUUUUUUUAAGCUUCUUUCUUUAAUUAAAAAAAGUUAUUAAAGUAUCAUUGAUUUACAAUGUUUCUGGAGUAUAGCAAAUGAU